Molecule: ribosomal RNA, 261 nt
Filed under: uncultured archaeon
Lineage: Archaea
Description: partial 16S ribosomal RNA
Rfam family: Archaeal small subunit ribosomal RNA
Source: RNAcentral
CAGCCGUAAACUAUGCGCGUUAGGUGUAUCGGUGACCACGAGUUACCGAGGUGCCGAAGGGAAACCGUGAAACGUGCCGCCUGGGAAGUACGGUCGCAAGGCUGAAACUUAAAGGAAUUGGCGGGGGAGCACAACAACGGGUGGAGCCUGCGGUUUAAUUGGACUCAACGCCGGACAACUCACCGGGGACGACAGCAAUAUGUAGGCCAGGCUGAAGACCUUGCCUGAAUCGCUGAGAGGAGGUGCAUGGCAUAGACGUCU